CAAUGUUGAAUACACUGUUAAUCUCAUUCUCAUCCACUGUGCAACAUUCUAGGUUGCUGUCGAGCACAUGGUCUUCCCUCUUCUGUUCAACAACUGUCUUCACCUGCUCCAACGGUUAAAGAUAAUUAUCAGUUAAAGAUUUGUUUUGAAAGAUACAAAUGGAAGAAGAAGAAGAAGAUGGGUUAUAAGCUUCUUCAAACUUACCCAUGUUACAAGCCUGGUUCCCUCCUCAAUAAAUGCUUCAUCUGUUGGCUUUUUCCCGGUUAGAAGUUCUAGUAAAACAACUCCAAAACUACUCUUUACCAGGAGCCAAGUAUCCAAAAGUUCCAGCUACAAAUGUUGAGACAUGAGUCUUAUCUGGUUCCAUCAAUGUUGCCAGUCCAAAGUCGGAUACUCGAGCCUCCAUGUUUUGAUCCAGCAAGAUAUUGCUC
Long non-coding RNA from Ziziphus jujuba (common jujube), 431 nucleotides. RefSeq lists it as uncharacterized. The record is from RefSeq and is a predicted model, not a curated record. Lineage: Eukaryota; Viridiplantae; Streptophyta; Magnoliopsida; Rosales; Rhamnaceae. The transcript is spliced from 3 exons.